UACGUAGGGGGCAAGCGUUGUCCGGAUUUAUUGGGCGUAAAGAGCGUGUAGGCGGCCAUGCAGGUCCGUUGUGAAAACUCGAGGCUCAACCUCGAGACGCCGGUGGAAACCGUAUGGCUAGAGUCCGGAAGAGGAGAGUGGAAUUCCUGGUGUAGCGGUGAAAUGCGCAGAUAUCAGGAAGAACACCCGUGGCGAAGGCAGGUCUCUGGGCCAUUACUGACACUGAGAAGCGAAAGCAUGGGGAGCGAACAGG
RNAcentral lists this ribosomal RNA (253 nucleotides) under uncultured bacterium. Its description in RNAcentral is "partial 16S ribosomal RNA". It matches the Rfam family "Bacterial small subunit ribosomal RNA", at positions 524 to 776 of the family's 1533-position model. The record is from RNAcentral.